UGUAUUCAUAUCGUAUGUGACUGAUCUUUCCCAUCAGGUUGAAGUGGAGGAAGAGCACUGAACUUCAAGCUUUAAAGACAUCAGGGAGAGCUGCUGAAGGCAUUUCAUCAUCCCCCAGUCACCUGACUCACUGCAUAUCAACCUUUGUAUUGGUCUGCAGGUGUUUGCUGAGUUCCAUUGCAUCACAAAUAUGAACCUUCACAACACAUUCUACAGCCAGCUGGACCGACACACACUGCAACAGCAUACAGGCAGAAGGCCUCAGCGACAUGAGAGACAGGAACAGCAUGAUGUACACAAGAAGCACUCUGGCUCUUCAUACCCUCCCAUUGUACCUGCAAGGGGAUCUUCAAGAUCUCCUGCGAGUGGGACCAUGAGCCAAACUUUGAAGACACCCCAUGUGGUCACUGACAGCUCCACUGGUACCAUCCAGUUCGACCCUGACAGCAUUUCUGAUGUGGGUCUCCCCAGGUUGGAUGAUGUACAUUUUCAUAAUGUUGGUUUUUAUCUGAAGGUAAUCAUUUUACAAGGUUCCUUAUCUACCUCAGCACAUGAUACGUGUGAUUCAUUAUGUUAAAUCAUUGGAUCUUUAUUUGCUUUUGAUUCCACAAAAGUUAUUUUCUCAUAUUUUGUCUAAAUGUAUUGGUUAUUUCUAAUAAUGUCCUUAACUACUACCUUAUAACACAGUUUAAGGUUCUUUAAAUCCUUUGUAAAAUAAACACUGUCAGUGUUUCCAUUAAAAUACAGACACAUGACUGGAUCUACAAACCCAUUCCAGUUGUAUAGACUGUUUUAAACUUGAAUAAAAAAGGUGAACUG
Molecule: non-coding RNA, 819 nt
Organism: Labrus bergylta (ballan wrasse)
Lineage: Eukaryota; Metazoa; Chordata; Actinopteri; Labriformes; Labridae
Source: RefSeq, a predicted model, not a curated record